CUCGGAUUCCACCGGUGUGUAGGCGGGGAAAGAGGAGGAGUAAAGACUGUUUACCAACGAAGUACACAGCAGCCCUAUCUAAGAACCAGGAACUAGGGGUCCCUAGCUUUAAAUCGGGGGUGCGCUGGUUCUCUGGGAUCCGCUUCAAGGCUUUUUUAACCUACCUAGGCGAAAACCUCUCAAAAAUCGCAGCCAUUCUAGCGCCCAGGCCCAGGUUUGAGUUCGUGAUGACUCAACGCAGCAUCCCCUCCCCUUGCCAAACAGCGGUCUCCGCCUACCCCCAAUCAAUCUCAACCAGGCACUUUGGGCGCCAGGCUUCCGAGAGCUUAGCUGGUGGGUAAGGGGGCUCAUCCCCUUCCCUGCAUCCCAGCAGGCUAGACCUCCCCUCCUCCCUGUCUUCUGGAGUGCAGAGUUCCCGCCGGGAUCCUGUUUUUGGAAGGCUUAGAAGGAUGUAACCUCCAGACCUGGACGCAAGAACCAGCCAGCGAAUGUGGCAGCCUAGCGCUCGAACAAGAGCCUCUGGUGAGCCCCCUGCCCUAUGCCUGGUGCUAGGCUAGACCCUGAGGUCAAGGCAGCUGCAAGACCUUCAAGGCACCGGGGCCUGAAGCCUGCCUGGAAACUGAAACAUGCUCCAGCCAUGUUCUAUUUCUCACCAGCUGGGAUUUUCAUUUCUUCUUCCUCCUCCAAUCAGACUGGGACCUGCUCACAUCCCUCCGCAUCCUAAGCUCCUGGAAGGCAUGUCAUGAAACGGGAUGUAGCAUGGGAGAUGCAGGGGAAGGUGAGGGCUGCAGAAGAAAUAACCAGGGCUACAGUUGGAGGCUGUGAAACCUGGUGUUCUCCUGAAAAGGAGGGGGGCUGAUGGAGCCCAGAAGCCAAGCAAAUAUCUGGAUUCCUGCAAGUGCACUGACCCCAGUUGCUGGCUCUGCUCUCCUGCACUGUGUCUUCCUACUCUGAACACCCACCUAACCAAGCAACAGGUCAAAACGGUGAUCAAUGUGGUUUGCCACUGAUGAGCAGGGAGGAGAAGCUACAGCAUUACUUCUGCAGAUUCUCGAAGGAGUCCAUGUUUCAAGAUGAGAUGGGUACCAGUGGGUCAUGUUCCUUUACUUUAGAAGAGGAAGCCUACGACUAUUCUGUUUGUCAGAAUGAGAAGAAAAGGGACUCCUUCCUGUCAACCCAGCUUGGGAUUCCUGGACAGUUUAAGAAGCCUCAUUGAUCAGAUCAUUGAUGCUGAGGAGGAAACACCCAUUCCCAGAGACAAACCACUGAAAGGCACUUCCUGCUCAUCCCAAUUUGACAUGGGCAGUGUUCCUGUAGCUCUAGAUGUUCACAGCCAAAUAAGAGUGUGGAUGACUUCCUUCUCCCUACAGCCUGCAUAGCAUCUUCCAGGACUAUGAGAGCUCACCAGCAGAGAGGAAGCUUACCGAUGUAGCCUGUGCCAUGUCUGCCGCAGAAUGCCCCUGUGCUCCCCACCAUGAUGAUAAUGGAUUGAACUUCUGAAACUAGACCAAGACAGGAAAGAUGAAAUGCACUUGACACGUGUCAGCAAAGAGGUGGUCAUUCCCAUGACAGAGAGCAUCGAUACUCUGGGAACAGCUUCAGAUGGAGUGGGCAAUAGGCCAGAAGACAUCAACCCAGUGCCUGACUUCGCAGUGCGUAUCUGGCACAGCUAGGCAGCCAGCAAUGGGCCAGUAGAAAGGACCCCUUCAUCCACAUGGAUCUUUUCAGUAGAUGAAAUGGGGGUUACCUUCUACACAUCUGCUAACUCCUUGGGGUAGGAUUUCCCAAUUGGUAAGUUGUGUGUACAGGUAUAUCCACAUGUGAUGGGUCCUCUUGACUCUAGGGAGAGUGGCCUCACCUCCAGGCCAACACUUCUAAAAGCAAAGCAUGUCACACAUCAAGAAUUUAUAAAAUUAACAGUUUUAUGGCAGAUAAGGAAACUAAGGCAAUACAGAAGAAUGACAUAAAGUAGAAGGGGUAUGAUAAGUAACUAUUGCAGUGUAUGAAAUGAGCAAGAGUUCCCAUUUUUAUCAGGCCUUCUAUGACUUGCAGAAUAUUGGCAAUGUGGAGACUACUACGGUUAAUCUCAUAAUAAACAAGUCCUAACGUGAGGACAGGGUAGGUGAGUAAGGGGCUGGUGACUUGAGACAGGAAUUUUCAAUGGAGGCUUGUAAUUAUUAAGAGAUAUGCUGGAAAGCAGGUGGGCUGACCCAUUGAAGCCAGUGAAUUUGGAAAGGGCUAAUUUAAAUAAAACAUGUGUUGUUUCAGAACUGAGUAGAACAUACUGUGCCUUCCAGAAAGUAAAAGCCGUGUGGGGUUAUUGCAGGAAACUCUAACUGGGAACUGUCACCUGAAGAACACACCUUGCAAAUUGCUACAGUGAAAGCAUCUUAGUGCUCUACCCACUUAGGGAAGGAUGGGAUAUUCUCCCUGGUAGACUUCUUUAAAGGUGUGAGAGAAAGCCUAACUGUCCCCACACAGCAUCCUACCCUAGCCCAUCUGAUAGCAGGGGAAGCCCACACUGGCUUGGUCCUUACUAGUGGCGAGUGGCGAGUGGCAAGCCUGAUAAACUUGAAACAACAACAAAGAGUGUAGGGGUUUAAUCAAUCUGGCUGAGUUCCCAGCCUCUCUGCAAAAUGACCUCACAGAACUUGGGGGUAGUCUGGAGUUGAAGCUGUCAGCAUUUGGCGAGAGACUAAAAUGUUUCUUCCCUUUCAGUGUGUUUUCUUUACUGGAAGAAAGAAAACAAAAGGGUUCAAAGAAAUAAACAGAAAUCUGUAGAAAACCUUAAAUAUGGCAUCUCCAUGGCUUUGCAAAAUAAACAAAGAAUGGGGCUGUACUUGUGUGCACAUUCACAUACUUGUUAACAUGGACCUGGGGGUCUUUACGGCGUUGUACUGAUUUCUUUACACAUAACGAAGAGUAAAUAUUCAGUCUAAGGGACUGUCUCAUGGAUUAAAUUAUAGUAAGAACUAAGCUGAUUGAAAACACAGGGUAAAGGAUUACAUAGCCUCCCUCACUUUAUCCCAGGUGUCCUUCUAUAGCGUAGCAACGUAAACUUCAGCCAGAUGAACAGAAUUGAAAUGAAGACUCCAUGCCAAAAGAAAUAGGACUUCAUAUUUCUUCCCGAGUCUACUUCCACUUGAAAGGUUUCUUUCCUCACAAGAAACAUGUGUCAAAGGAUAUAAAAGUGCCUUUCUAUUUGGGGCUAGAACCAGAAAUCAAAAGACAACGGAGAAAAACUCCAGCUCAGCUAUCUAGAUUGGAAAUGAUGUGUGAAUUUUGCUGUUUCUCCCAACAUUUCAGAGCGGCUGUGACAUAAUGCUUAAUUCAAUCUCCCAGGGAUAUUAACACUGAUAGGAAAUUUCUCCACAUGAGGAAGAGGAAAGAAUUGAAACCCAGCGAAGCUUCGAAGAUUGAUGUUCCAGAAAACUUUUGGGCUGGCUGGAAGAAAAUUUAAGAGUCAAUAAGUUCAUUGCAAGGACAUCCAAGCCUUCCAUUGGAAUGAACCUGCUGUGGCAUGCAAGUUGGUGUCUCUAGACUUUCCAUUCCAAAGCUGAACAGCACUGAUGACUUUCUACAAAGUACAUCCUAAAACACUUUUAUCCCAGAGGCUGUAUACCAGGCUCAUUGGGAAUAAAGGCAAAUGUGGGCAACAAGAUCCCAUCCCUUCAUGGAAUUCAGUCUCUACCAGGAAGACAGACAUCAAGUUAGAUCAGUAGUAAGACUUGAGGAGCACAUGGAGAGAAUUAACUACCGCUGUGGGUUUAACCUAGGCAUCUGGAAGCUCCCCUCCCUGAAGAAGUGGUGACUGCUGAAAGAUGCUCAUGACAGUGCCAAGCCAAGAAGAGAUAUGCACUAUAGAUUGUCAGAAAUGGCAGAGGAAGGCAAUUCAUUCUGUCGUUCAUACUGCAGUCUGUGUAUGUUACUUUUAGUUUCUAGGCCCACCAUCUGUACAUUCAAAACCUGUUUUCAUUUCUCUUGUGCUGCUUUUGAAAAACAACAUAAGGAGUUGGGGAUUUAGCU
Peromyscus leucopus (white-footed mouse) is the source of this 4026-nucleotide long non-coding RNA. RefSeq lists it as uncharacterized. Lineage: Eukaryota; Metazoa; Chordata; Mammalia; Rodentia; Cricetidae. The transcript is spliced from 10 exons. The record is from RefSeq and is a predicted model, not a curated record.